RNAcentral lists this ribosomal RNA (492 nucleotides) under uncultured bacterium. RNAcentral describes it as "partial 16S ribosomal RNA". It matches the Rfam family "Bacterial small subunit ribosomal RNA", at positions 29 to 507 of the family's 1533-position model. The record is from RNAcentral.
AGUGAACGCUGGCGGUAGGCCUAACACAUGCAAGUCGAACGGCAGCACAGUAAGAGCUUGCUCUUACGGGUGGCGAGUGGCGGACGGGUGAGGAAUACAUCGGAAUCUACUUUUUCGUGGGGGAUAACGUAGGGAAACUUACGCUAAUACCGCAUACGACCUACGGGUGAAAGCAGGGGAUCUUCGGACCUUGCGCGAUUGAAUGAGCCGAUGUCGGAUUGGCUAGUUGGCGGGGUAAAGGCCCACCAAGGCGACGAUCCGUAGCUGGCCUGAGAGGAUGAUCAGCCACACUGGAACUGAGACACGGUCCAGACUCCUACGGGAGGCAGCAGUGGGGAAUAUUGGACAAUGGGCGCAAGCCUGAUCCAGCCAUACCGCGUGGGUGAAGAAGGCCUUCGGGUUGUAAAGCCCUUUUGUUGGGAAAGAAAAGCAGCAGGUUAAUACCCCGCUGUUCUGACGGUACCCAAAGAAUAAGCACCGGCUAACUUCGUG